GGAGAGAUGGCCGAGU
Molecule: small RNA, 16 nt
Filed under: Arabidopsis thaliana (thale cress)
Lineage: Eukaryota; Viridiplantae; Streptophyta; Magnoliopsida; Brassicales; Brassicaceae
Description: trnS(GGA)
Source: RNAcentral